UACGGGGGGGGCAAGCGUUGUUCGGAAUUACUGGGCGUAAAGGGCUCGUAGGCGGCCAACUAAGUCGGAUGUGAAAUCCCCAGGCUUAACCUGGGAAUUGCAUCCGAUACUGGAUGGCUUGAAUCCGGGAGAGGGAUGCGGAAUUCCAGGUGUAGCGGUGAAAUGCGUAGAUAUCUGGAGGAACACCGGUGGCGAAGGCGGCAUCCUGGACCGGCAUUGACGCUGAGACGCGAAAGCGUGGGGAGCGAACAGG
RNAcentral lists this ribosomal RNA (253 nucleotides) under uncultured bacterium. RNAcentral describes it as "partial 16S ribosomal RNA". It matches the Rfam family "Bacterial small subunit ribosomal RNA", at positions 524 to 776 of the family's 1533-position model. The record is from RNAcentral.